This 143-nucleotide unclassified non-coding RNA is filed under the name uncultured Mortierellales. Its description in RNAcentral is "sequence contains ITS1". The record is from RNAcentral. Lineage: Eukaryota; Fungi; Mortierellomycota; Mortierellomycetes; Mortierellales.
UAAUAAGUGUUCUACUGCACUUUUUAAAAAUAGUACUCACCUUGUGUGCAAUGUUUUGUUUGUGAAUUCAAACAAUCAAUUACCAACCAUUUAUUUUGAACACCUUUUGUCUGAAAAAUAUUAUGAAUACUUAAUUCAAAAUA